AGUUAGGGUUAAGGUAAUGGUUAGGUUUAGUGGUUAGGGUUAAGGUAAUGGUUAGGUUUAGUGGUUAGGGUUAAGGUAAUGGUUAGGUUUAGUGGUUAGGGUUAAGGUAAUGGUUAGGUUUAGUGGUUAGGGUUAAGGUAAUGGUAAGUUUUAGUGGUUAGGGUUAAGGUAAUGGUUAGGGUUAGGGUUAAGGUAAUGGUUAGGGUUAGGGUUAAGGUAAUGGUUAGGGUUAAGGUAAUGGUUAGGGGUUAGUGGUUAAGGUAAUGGUUAGGGUUAGUGGUUAAGGUAGUGGUUAGUGGUUAGGGUUAAGGUAAUGGUUAGGGUUAGUGGUUAAGGUAAUGGUUAGGGUUAGUGGUUAGGGUUAAGGUAAUGGUUAGGGUUAGUGGUUAAGGUAAUGGUUAGGGUUAGUGGUUAAGGUUAGUGGUUAAGGUAAUGGUUAAUGGUUAAGGUAAUGGUUAGGGUUAGUGGUUAAGGUAAUGGUUAGGGUUAGUGGUUAAGGUAAUGGUUAGGGGUUAAGGUAAUGGUUAGGGGUUAAGGUAAUGGGUAGGGUUAGUGGUUAAGGUAAUGGUUAGGGUUUGUGGUUAAGGUAAUGGUUAGGUUAGUGGUUAGGGUUAAGGUAAUGGUUAGGGUUACUGGUUAGGGUUAAGGUAAUGGUUAGGGUUAGUGGUUAGGGUUAGUGGUUAAGGUAAUGGUUAGGGUUAGUGGUUAAGGUAAUGGUUAGGGUUAGUGGUUAAGGUAAUGGUUAGGGGUUAAGGUAAUGGUUAGGGGUUAAGGUAAUGGGUAGGGUUAGUGGUUAAGGUAAUGGUUAGGGUUUGUGGUUAAGGUAAUGGUUAGGUUAGUGGUUAGGGUUAAGGUAAUGGUUAGGGUUAGUGGUUAGGGUUAAGGUAAUGGUUAGGGUUAGUGGUUAAGGUAAUGGUUAGGGUUAGUGUUAAGGUAAUGGUUAGUGGUUAAGGUAAUGGUUAGGGUUAAGGUAAUGGUUAGGGUUAGUGGUUAAGGUAAUGGUUAGGGUUAGUGGUUAAGGUAAUGGUUAAGGUAAUGGUUAGGGUUAGUGGUUAAGGUAAUGGUUAGGUUAGUGGUUAGGGUUAAGGUAAUGGUUAGGGUUAGUGGUUAAGGUCAUGGUUAGGUUAGUGGUUAGGGUUAAGGUAAUGGUUAGGGUUAGUGGUUAAGGUAAUGGUUAGGUUUAGUGGUUAGGGUUAAGGUAAUGGUUAGGGUUAGUGGUUAAGGUAAUGGUUAGUGGUUAAGGUAAUGGUUAGUGGUUAAGGUAAUGGUUAGGGUUAGUGGUUAAGGUAAUGGUUAUGGUUAAGGUAAUGGUUAGGUUAGUGGUUAGGGUUAAGGUAAUGGUUAGGGGUUAAGGUAAUGGUUAGGGUUAGUGGUUAAGGUAAUGGUUAGGGUUAGUGGUUAAGGUAAUGGUUAGGGUUAGUGGUUAAGGUAAUGGUUAGGGUUAGUGGUUAAGGUAAUGGUUAGGGUUAGUGGUUAAGGUAAUGGUUAGGGUUAGUGGUUAAGGUAAUGGUUAGUGGUUAAGGUAAUGGUUAGUGGUUAAGGUAAUGGUUAGUGGUUAAGGUAAUGGUUAGGUUAGUGGUUAGGGGAAAAGGAUGUA
Long non-coding RNA from Oncorhynchus keta (chum salmon), 1597 nucleotides. RefSeq lists it as uncharacterized. The record is from RefSeq and is a predicted model, not a curated record. The transcript is spliced from 4 exons. Lineage: Eukaryota; Metazoa; Chordata; Actinopteri; Salmoniformes; Salmonidae.